Molecule: ribosomal RNA, 449 nt
Filed under: uncultured Planctomycetota bacterium
Lineage: Bacteria; Pseudomonadati; Planctomycetota
Description: bacterial SSU rRNA
Rfam family: Bacterial small subunit ribosomal RNA
Source: RNAcentral
CGACGCCGCGUGUGGGAAGAAGGCCUUCGGGUUGUAAACCACUGUCGGGAGUUAGGAAAUGCAGGUGCGUUAAUAGCGCACUUGCUUGACUAAGGCUCCAGAGGAAGCCACGGCUAACUCUGUGCCAGCAGCCGCGGUAAUACAGAGGCGGCAAGCGUUGUUCGGAAUUAUUGGGCGUAAAGAGCACGUAGGCGGCCUUGCAAGUCAGUUGUGAAAGCCUUCCGCUUAACGGAAGAACGGCAUCUGAUACUACAGGGCUUGAGUACGGGAGGGGAGAGUGGAACUUCUGGUGGAGCGGUGAAAUGCGUAGAUAUCAGAAGGAACGCCGGCGGCGAAAGCGACUCUCUGGUCCGAAACUGACGCUGAGUGUGCGAAAGCUAGGGGAGCAAACGGGAUUAGAUACCCCGGUAGUCCUAGCCGUAAACGAUGGGCACUAAGUAGAGGGAAUU